Molecule: long non-coding RNA, 219 nt
Organism: Struthio camelus australis
Lineage: Eukaryota; Metazoa; Chordata; Aves; Struthioniformes; Struthionidae
Source: RefSeq, a predicted model, not a curated record
UUAGUUAAAGACAGCUUUACCUUACUGCUCAGGAAUGCUCUGUUUGAAGCAGACCCAGCUAAUCCGGUUGGACCACAUCUACCGUUGAAUUCAACUGCGCUUUCAGUUAGGGCCCAAACUAACUACUGAAAUCUCCUUUUUCUGUCACUUCUGUCUGUGACAAUUUUGGAAACCUGCCUCCACCCGAGCAAUUUGCCCAAGCCCUACCACCGAUCCGCU